Long non-coding RNA from Hevea brasiliensis (rubber tree), 263 nucleotides. RefSeq lists it as uncharacterized. Lineage: Eukaryota; Viridiplantae; Streptophyta; Magnoliopsida; Malpighiales; Euphorbiaceae. The record is from RefSeq and is a predicted model, not a curated record. The transcript is spliced from 2 exons.
CCUUCUUCCUCCGCCCAGCCGCCACAGUAAUUUGUCGUCAAGUCUGCCACAGGAGGAUAUUUUAUUCUGGGUUAACCUGCUUUUAUCCUUCGCAGGUUGUUUAUCCAUGUUUGUGUAAUUUUAAUUACUCCUAGAAUUUCCGCAUGUGUUAGCAGUAUUUAUUUGAAUUUGGUCUGUAAUAUUUUUAUCAUGUUGGACCUGUAAACUUAAAUAUUUUAAGUCUGUUUGAUGGAUUGGAUGAGGGAGCUGAGCUCCCAUUUAUU